Molecule: ribosomal RNA, 405 nt
Filed under: uncultured bacterium
Lineage: Bacteria
Description: partial 16S ribosomal RNA
Rfam family: Bacterial small subunit ribosomal RNA
Source: RNAcentral
GAUGAACGCUGGCGGCGUGCCUAAUACAUGCAAGUCGAGCGAAGCGGGGACGGGUGAGUAACACGUGGAUAACCUCCUAUAAGCCUGGGAUAACUUCAGGAAACCGGAGCUAAACCGGAUACUUAUAGGAGGAUCCGCGCGGCAUUAGCUAGUUGGUAAAGUAACGGCUUACCAAGGCAACAAUGCAUAGCCGACCUGAGAGGGUGAUCGGCCACACUGGAACUGAAACCCUGCCAAGACUCCUACGGGAGGCAGCAGUAGGGAAUCUACCGCAAUGGGCGAAAGCCUGACGGAGCAACGCCGCGUGAGUGAUGAAGGUCUUCGGAUCGUAAAACUCUGUUAUUAGGGAAGCGGUACCUAAGCAGAAAGCCACGGCUAACUACGUGCCAGCAGCCGCGGUAAUAC